UCCGUAGGCGGGCGUCUAAGUCAGUGGUGAAAUCUUACAGCUCAACUGUAAAAUUGCCAUUGAUACUGGAUGUCUUGAAUUAGUGUGAAGUGGUUAGAAUGUGUAGUGUAGCGGUGAAAUGCAUAGAUAUUACACAGAAUACCAAUUGCGAAGGCAGAUCACUAACACUAUAUUGACGCUGUGGGACGAAAGCGUGGGGAGCGAACAGGAUUAGAUACCCUGGUAGUCC
RNAcentral lists this ribosomal RNA (229 nucleotides) under uncultured bacterium. RNAcentral describes it as "partial 16S ribosomal RNA". It matches the Rfam family "Bacterial small subunit ribosomal RNA", at positions 568 to 796 of the family's 1533-position model. The record is from RNAcentral.